Ictalurus punctatus (channel catfish) is the source of this 1240-nucleotide long non-coding RNA. RefSeq lists it as uncharacterized. The record is from RefSeq and is a predicted model, not a curated record. The transcript is spliced from 2 exons. NCBI's taxonomy places the organism in Eukaryota, Metazoa, Chordata, Actinopteri, Siluriformes, Ictaluridae.
CACUCUUUGGGAUGUCUCAAAUGAUUUGGAUCUCAUGUGCUUGGGCUAAAUAAAAUUGGACCUUUGCUUUUCCUUACUCACUGAUUCUGUGUGGUAUUUUUCGAAACCUGAAUGAAGAGUCAACUGAAUUAGCUACGCAUCUACCUGAGCCCCUAGCCGUGUUCAAGACUGACAUUGUGAAGAAUCCAUCCAUCCAUCCAUCCAUCUUCUACAGCCUACUCCUUCUUCAGGGUCGCGGGGGAACCUGGAGCCUAUCCCAGGGAACAUCGGGCACAGGGCGGGGUACACCCUGGACAGGGUGCCAGUCCAUCGCACGGCACAAUCACAUACACACUCACACACCCAUUCAUGCACUACAGACACUUUAGACACAUUGUGAAGUAUAAACAAAUCUAAUCAAUAAUACAUAAUAUUUUAAAAUUUUGUAUUUUAAAAAAUACAAUGUUUUAAAAUAUAAUAUUUUUAAAAAUAUAUAUGUUCUUAUUAGUUACAAUACAACAUUGACAGUUCUCAACUACAUGAAUGUCUUCAUAUUUUCAUAACUGGGUCAUUCAUAAGGAAAGAAGCAUAAAAAGCCUCCUUUGUAUAGACUAUAGAUGUGUUUUACUUAUCCAUGGUCAAAGUUUAACACAAACAAACCACAAACCUCAACAAGAAUACACCAUAAGUAACAUUAACAAAGUAACUACACUAAUAAACCAACUGGAAACAUUCAGAUAUGAGAUUAGAGAGCAGGUGCCAGUAUGUACAGUAUGUUCUCAACAUUUACAAUCAUGCUGUAAUUUAAUUUAUUUUUUUGCUAAAUUAUGUGGACUUAUUUUUGGGCACAGUGGUGCAGCAGGUAGUUUUACCACCUCACAGCUCCAGGGUCUCUGGUUCACGCUUGGAUUACUGUCUGUGUGGAUCUUUGCAUGUUCUCCCCAUAUCUGUAUGGACUUCCUCUGGGAUCUCUGGUUUCUGUCCACCUCUCAAAAAUAUGGUGAUAAGUUACUGGUCUACUCUACAUUCAUUAUCUUCUAUGUGCAAAUCUAUCUGUAUGUUGUCCUACACUGUACUGGCUUCUUAUUCAGGGUUUAUUCCUGUCUCACACCCAGUGUUCCAAGGAUAGAUUGCUUAUCCGCCACGACUCUGACCAAUAAAGUGGUUACUGAAAAUGAAUGAAUGAACAAAUCUUUAGCCAUGGACUGAAUGAACAGGCAAUGUAGAUGUAUUUUGUCAACAUUAAACAUGUGUUAACUAA